GACGAACGCUGGCGGCGUGCCUAAUACAUGCAAGUAGAACGCUGAAGAGAGGAGCUUGCUCUUCUUGGAUGAGUUGCGAACGGGUGAGUAACGCGUAGGUAACCUGCCUGGUAGCGGGGGAUAACUAUUGGAAACGAUAGCUAAUACCGCAUAAAAUGGAUUAUCGCAUGAUAAUCCAUUGAAAGGUGCAAAUGCAUCACUACCAGAUGGACCUGCGUUGUAUUAGCUAGUUGGUGGGGUAACGGCUCACCAAGGCGACGAUACAUAGCCGACCUGAGAGGGUGAUCGGCCACACUGGGACGGAGACACGGCCCAGACUCCUACGGGAGGCAGCAGUAGGGAAUCUUCGGCAAUGGACGGAAGUCUGACCGAGCAACGCCGCGUGAGUGAAGAAGGUUUUCGGAUCGUAAAGCUCUGUUGUAAGAGAAGAACGAGUGUGAGAGUGGAAAGUUCACACUGUGACGGUAUCUUACCAGAAAGGGACGGCUAACUACGUG
Molecule: ribosomal RNA, 497 nt
Filed under: uncultured bacterium
Lineage: Bacteria
Description: partial 16S ribosomal RNA
Rfam family: Bacterial small subunit ribosomal RNA
Source: RNAcentral